Molecule: long non-coding RNA, 2439 nt
Organism: Triticum aestivum (bread wheat)
Lineage: Eukaryota; Viridiplantae; Streptophyta; Magnoliopsida; Poales; Poaceae
Exons: 5
Source: RefSeq, a predicted model, not a curated record
AAGAAGAAAAGAAAAAGUAAGCCCACCCCGUGAACCCUACCUCCCGCAAAUCAUCCCGACCUCGGGUCCCUCCCGUGCGCCGCCCUCGCUUCCGCCACGAACCGGCCUCCUUCCAGCGCGCCUCCGCCCAGCCUCUCCCCGAGCGCGUUGCCGCCCGGCCUCCUCCCCGAGCGCGCCGCCGCCCGGCCUCCUCCCCACCGCGCUGCCGCCGGGCCUCCUCCCCACCGCGCUGCCGCCGGGCCUCCUCCAAGCGCGCCUACAGCCGGCCUCUCCCCCACCGCGCCGCCGCCAGGCCUUCUCCCAACCACGCCGCGCUGGCCGGCCUUCUCCCCGAGCGCGCCGCCUCCCGGCCUUCUCCCCAUCGCCAGACAUAUCAAGUUCUUUGUUUGAGUUCAGUAGGGCAUCAACCUGAUGGCAGGACCACAACAUUAUCCGUACGAGGUUCGCCUGCAGUUCUAGAUUAGGGAGGCUCGUUCUCUCUGCCUAACGAAGUUGUGCGUGUACUAACCAGAAGUCUACCCCAGUUGAGCAAAAAAAUAUUUCGUUAGCAGUUCAUACCAAAAAAGGUUCAGACGUCUCAAGCCGCUAAGGCCUACAUCUCCCUGCCAAUGGUUGACAGCCGGUGCCAACAUGGCUGUGGUGAGUUCGUUGGCCUAGUCCCUAUGCUCCGAUGAGGUCAAGCCCAUUGUCAUAUUUGUCGCCGCAACUUCAGAUUGCUGCCGCCAAGGGACGGUGGCAUGAAGCAGUUGAGUAGGUGUGCGUGGUGAGCAGCUACUGAACUUCUUCAGACACUACAAAAUAUAGUCCCACACAGCCUCUCAACACCACUUCUUGAACCUGCUUGAACCUUCAUGGCCCAGGCCGUUUACUGCCUCCACACAAGGCCGUUCGAUGAUGCAACGCUCAAGCUGAUCACCCUUGCCAGCACCCUAGACUCCCAUGAAAUAUCUAGUCAAAAAAAUGGUUGAUCGUAAGUGCAAGUACACUACACACGCUGAGCUGCAACGGGACACGGUGACAUCACUUCUUUUGGGUUGUUUUCUGUAUGAAUCUGCAUUUUUGUUAUUAAAUUCAGUACAACGAAACACAUGAAUCCCCAGCGGGUACCAAAUUAUUGAUUCCUUAAAACAAUUAAUAGAUUUCACCAUUGGUUGGUCUACUUGUGUAAAUCUGUCAGUUCAUGACAAGUAACUUCUGAUGCUAGAAAUGCAGGAUGUUUGUGUGAAUCUUGCUUGUUUCAGAGAGAAAAAGAGUUGGUACUUGCAUCACAUGGUGUACUGAACAAACAUACGCAUUCAGAUAAACAUGCUAACAACUCCUCUUGCUAUACUCAUGCUUGUACUUGUUUAUUUUUCUUGUUUGGGAAAUGGUUUCCUAUCCUCCUAACAGCUUUUCUCAAAUUUCAUUUAAUUUAGUUUCAAAUCAAACCAGAGCUAAUGCAUAAAUGUCAUUGGGUGAGGUUGCUAGGAAGAUUUGCAUUAGAGAAUGCUUUGUUGGAAAAGCUUCUAUUGGUAUUAUUAACAACAAAACUCUCGGUGGACAUAGACCGUAAAUCUUGAGACUAUUUUCACCAUUUUUUGCCCUUUGGUGUUUGGAAAUUCUAAAUUUUGUUGAUUUCAACUUGAUGAAUAUAAAGAUAUAUGCCAUGAGUUUUAGAUUAUAUCUCUGCUGUUGUAAUUUCUUGUUGGUGUUUAUUAGUAGAUAUACAUGUAUGAGUUCACUCCUGACUAUUGUAAUAAAGUUUUUUAGGAUUUGGAAGUAUCUAGUCUGGAUUGGCAGUGUAAAAACCAUAUAUAAAAUGUCUUGAUGCAUGCUAGCAGAAAUAUGAAAAUAAACUCAGCACAGUUCCUAUAUUUUAUUCAAGUUCAAAGCUAAACAUUUCUAACAGCUUAUCGCUCCUUGUAGGAUACACACUAUUCAUCGCAUUUGUCAUCGAGCGAUUGCACCACUAUCUUCAGAAGCUCAUCACCCUGAGGAAAUCAGCCAACACCUCCCAGAGAGGAGCUUGAAAUUUUCCAAAUGGAGUUCAAACGUGAAUUUGAGAAAAUGAUUCCUCGGCUAAGUUCGAAAAAUGUCAUUCUGUGAAGUUCGGCUAUUCAGCCAUGGACUAGUCAAUGGUGGAGUUGCAAUUUUGUUUCUUCUGUACAUACAUGAAUUGAAUGUAAUCAACGGAAAGAAACAUAUGUUGAUUCUCCAAGUUAGAGUUCAUUUUUAUUUUCUUACAAGUAGCAAAACUUCCUGUGUAGAUCAGUACAGCUUCUGUGCGAUCUUGUGUUACAAAUCUUGUAGUACUGUUUUUACAGGGAUCUUUCUAGUACUUUGUAAAGCAAGCGUGAUCCAUUUGUAAAAAUAUGGCAAAAGACAUCCUUCACUCUUGCAGUCUUUUGCUAAAAAAAAUGUUUUAAGUUCAAUGGAUGCCAUCGAGAAAGUUCAAACAUU